Molecule: long non-coding RNA, 422 nt
Organism: Ornithodoros turicata
Lineage: Eukaryota; Metazoa; Arthropoda; Arachnida; Ixodida; Argasidae
Exons: 3
Source: RefSeq, a predicted model, not a curated record
CGCGUUGGAACACCUGAAGGACUGCCAUCUCUCUAUAUCAUCUGUUAUAACGGACAGGCACCCAUCCAUUCGAAAACACAUGCGCGAAAAGGAACCUGACAUAAAACAUGCCUUUGACACAUGGCAUGUUGUGAAGGGGUUGCAGAAGAAACUAGAGGCAGCGUCACGCAGCGCAGGAUGCAGUGACCUUAAGCCGUGGAUAACCUCCAUUUGUUAUCACCUUUAUUGGUGUAAUGCAGUGUCGCAAGGAAACCCUGAACUUCGACUCGGCAUAUGGAACAGCUUGAAGCGCCAUGUGCUGAAUAUACACACAGAACAUGAAGGACCGUACUCUAGGUGCUUACAUGGAAACAUUAGGGGAACCAAAUGGCUAAAAGCAGACUCUGUGUCAUAUCACAAGCUUGUCAAGAUCGUUACGGACC